GGAGGAAGGUCGGCUGAGUCGGCCGGAUCAAGAGCGCUGGAGGAUGCCGGUCGACCGGAUUGUAAAAGUCACAAGGGGCAAAGGUGGCCUAAUACCGAGCGGUAUGGAUCAAGUGGAUGUGGGGUCGAGGAAGCAUUAAAAGGCUUUGAUGAAGAUGUAACGGAAGGUAUCGCAAAUCAAUGAAAUUAAUGGUCAGUUAUGAAUACAUCGUCUAUAAAUAGGAACAGCAGGGGCAGG
Molecule: long non-coding RNA, 237 nt
Filed under: Vigna radiata
Lineage: Eukaryota; Viridiplantae; Streptophyta; Magnoliopsida; Fabales; Fabaceae
Description: long non-coding RNA (VRAD_LNC005209)
Source: RNAcentral